Molecule: long non-coding RNA, 1803 nt
Organism: Numida meleagris (helmeted guineafowl)
Lineage: Eukaryota; Metazoa; Chordata; Aves; Galliformes; Numididae
Exons: 3
Source: RefSeq, a predicted model, not a curated record
UCUGCUCCAAAAGCCUUGAAGAGGGCUGCAGUCCAGUCCCCAACUACCCUGAUGUGAACACUGAAGAAGUCUUCCUCGGGAGCUGAGCUCUAGGACUCCAGAGGAAUGUGUCACCACCUGAAGAAUAAUAAAAGGUGGUGUUCCCUCCUGUGAUGAGAAUGGACUGACACAGCAUAGCAAUGGCAUGGAAGACACUGUGGGGAUAAAAGUUCAGAUGCACUGGGUGUAACAGGAAUGCUUAAACAUCCUCAGUGGGAGGAGAUGAACAGAGACAUGAGCAAGUGUAGAUGGCUGAGAGGGGGGCUCAUCUGCCUCAGCAUCCCCCAGGAGCCAUGGCCACAGGAGUGUGCGCGCCGGUGCCACCUCACACAAUCCCAGCUGCAUGGGACAAGGCACAAGGCUGUCCCCUUGGCUCCGUCACUUCUGUAUUCCUGCCUUGCUGGUGCUGCCGUGGCUUCUGAGUCUCUGAAUGGAUUUGUGACCAUUGAUGCUUGCAGGCAUCACACCAUAGCACAGCACUCAUCCAGCAAAGCGCUGUUCUUACAGACAAUCGAUGUGCCAUAUGGUAUUAUCACAAUUCAUUUAAAGUAAUGUGACUUUGCAAGCACGGCCUUGGGUAUGCAGGAAAGUGUGGCAAAGUAGGUUUAACAUGGAGAAAUGGAAGUUCUCUCCAGUUAGCUUUAUGAUAAUGAAUGUCAAGGCAUGCUGUUGGAAGCAAGUUUGUGUCUGUAUUCACAGUGUGCAGCCACCUAUUGAUUUUUAUGGUGACAUUGUAGCUGAAAUUUUUCGAGAGGCAUUCAUUUUCUCAUUAAUAUUCAGUUUGAGUAGUGGCUAACAAUAGUUUAGUUUAAGAAAAAUCUAUGUCAGCCAUUAACAGAGCUGCGAGAUACUGAAUGCUAAUUUUUCUCCUUUACAUUAAGAUAUCCUUUCAUACGCUUUCUCUUUCUGGAAGAAACAACAAAAACUUGCAUAUGAGCAAGCUAAAUCUUGAACUGUAAAUGUUAAAUGAUCUUGUUUAGAUGCUAGACAUCUGACACACUGUACAAAUCUGCUACUUAAUUACCCCCUGUGGAUUUGCAAUCUUGCUGCAGUGAAACCACCCUUCUGUGGGACAUUUUUCCUGCCUUUCAUAAUUUAUUGUUUCAAAUUCUCUCCGUUUUACCUAACUUAAGACAUCAAGGCUGGAGGAUAGGAGGUAUGUGCCCCAAAGCAAGGACAUAAUCUUAUCUUCAGUUUAGUCUCCCUUGGUAAUUAGGCUAUUAAUAUUAAAGCACUAUUAGUUAAAAUAAUAAUAAUAAUUUGCAUCCCUAGCUCUCCUGUUUCACUGCGUUUUCCGUAUCUCUACUCUUAAAAGAUUUUCACCUAGAGACCAUAUUUGUGCAAUGAGAUGAGCACAUUAAGGCUAUUGCUGAAGCUAAACAAUAAAAACAAAAUGUGUUCUGUUUUGUUGUUGGGGUUUUUUCAGUACAAAACCCACAAAAAAGAGAGGAAAAAAAAAGCAACAAAAUCCAACCAACCAACCAAAACACAAAUAGAGUCCAAUUCUGAAAUAAAAAGAAGUUGUGACUAACUAAAGAAUCUUCCAGAAAUAAUAAUAAUUAUUACUAACACCAUAUUUUUCCAAAUCUCACUGUGUUCUCAGUGCAUAGGGGGAGGUCACAGAACAGAAAUGGGCAAUUACACUCAAAACAUGACACUGAGUGCCAGUCACUGGCAUCACACAUUGCAGCCCCCUCAUUCCCUAUGGCAAACACAUGGCCUCUCAAUGAAAGAUAUUAACCUAAAAGCAGAAGACAAACAUCA